Long non-coding RNA from Malus domestica (apple), 293 nucleotides. RefSeq lists it as uncharacterized. The record is from RefSeq and is a predicted model, not a curated record. NCBI's taxonomy places the organism in Eukaryota, Viridiplantae, Streptophyta, Magnoliopsida, Rosales, Rosaceae.
CUCUGGAAACCAGUUGUCAGGUACGACUUUUCUUAUCUCGUGACAACUUCAAGUCGUUGGAAAUUUCAAUUCGCACCGGAAUUCGGUGGGGCGCUUCUGGCGCGGUGGGAGAAACGAAAAAUGGACAUACCUUUGCUUGUUUUGCUGCACCUUUGUUUGUCUGUAAGAUCUCUCCAUCUUUCUUGUCCACGAGAGAAAAAAUAGAUUGCAGGUCUAGCAGGGAUAAGGAUUAGCACAUCAAUAGUUAGAGUGAUAAAAGAAAAGUGAUAAAAGAAAGGUUGAUGGAAUUUUGA